RNAcentral lists this long non-coding RNA (581 nucleotides) under Malus domestica (apple). RNAcentral describes it as "long non-coding RNA (MDOM_LNC014804)". The record is from RNAcentral. Lineage: Eukaryota; Viridiplantae; Streptophyta; Magnoliopsida; Rosales; Rosaceae.
AGACACUUCUUAGGCAGAUAUUGGUGCCACCAAGAGCAGCAACAGCCCAAGGGAAGCACCAUCCAUUGCACCUAAACAUUUCGACCGUCCAUAGAAAAACAGGCAUUUUUCUCAUGUCACUCUGAAAAAUUGCUCCCAGUGAAUUCAGGUACACAGCUCUGUGGCUGUACACAACUCCUUUGGGAUUACCUGUUGACCCAGAAGUGUAACUCACUGAAAUCGGGUCACACUCAUUGUUGGGUCUGAGAAUCUGAAAACCGGGUUCUGCUGGUUCCUGUAGGUCAUUGUAAUUUAUGGCACCUAAUGGAAGAUCAAGAUCAAUAUGAGAAGAUGAUGAUGAUUGGUCACAUUCUGGGAUUAGAAUGAGGAGAGGUGGCUUGGAGUUGGAGUUUGAUUGGGACAAAAUGUCAACUGCUUGGAGGACAACUUCAAGGUACUGAUGAUCUACAAGAAUGGCUUUGGCUUCCAAUUGUUGUAAUAUCAAAGUUAAUGCGGGUGCGUGCAGCCUAAUGUUAAGUGCACAAAGGACUGCUCCUGCCAUUGGAAUGCUGAAAUGUAACUCAUAGAGUGCUGGAAUGUUU